GGAGGUAUAGCUCAGUUGGUGAGAGCGCAGGAUUCAUAACCCUGAGGUCGGUGGUUCAAAUCCACCUACCUCCA
Molecule: transfer RNA, 74 nt
Filed under: Beta vulgaris subsp. vulgaris (sugar beet)
Lineage: Eukaryota; Viridiplantae; Streptophyta; Magnoliopsida; Caryophyllales; Amaranthaceae
Also listed under: 1 other name
Rfam family: tRNA
About the family: Transfer RNA (tRNA) molecules are approximately 80 nucleotides in length. Their secondary structure includes four short double-helical elements and three loops (D, anti-codon, and T loops).
Source: Rfam by way of RNAcentral